GAACCUGCACGCAUUAACCUCUCUCUGCCACGUAACAACGAAGCCGUGGAAAUAAGCUUGCAGCUGAAGCUACACCAUUUAUCAUUUCAAUUUCAUGGCAGCUUCUUUACGCUCACAUAAACCUAUAAAUACCCACUAAACCAUUCAUAGUUUCCUGUCACAACUUCAAUACUCUAAUUUUCAGCAUCAAAUCUCAGUCAUCAUCAAGUCACAACAACAUGAGUUCUAAAAACAUCAUUCAAAGUACUCUUUGCCACACUACAAGACCUGCUCCUCGUACCAAUAACACCAAUUCUUCGUCCUCAAGAACUUCAUCCACAGCAACUAUUCAGAAGGUCUUUUCAAGGAAGUAUGAGAAGAAGAAUUGAGAGCAAUUUCCCCUUCAUUAUGUUCUUCUUCUUCUAAACAUUUCAUAUUAUUUCAUUACUUUACGUAUUCAUUUACAUUCCGUCUCAUCCAUUGUAUUUUAAACAGAUUAUUUUCAUUAAUUCAAUAGUUCAUAUUCAGUUUGGUACAUUAAUAGCAUCAUAUGUUCUUUUCCUACAUUUAUUUAAAUAUCUUUCAUUUCUCUUCUUCCUCCACCGUUGCACCGGUCAGCCACCACCCUCUUCUGUUACACCACACUACCUCGCCACACUCUUCCUCUUUUCCUCCUCCUCCAUUCCACCACCUCACGUCACUCCUUCUCUUUCCCACACCUUCUUCUCAAGUUCGAUCUAAAAAACUCAACUUGCUAUAAUUCAAACAUUUCACACGCAGCCCAUGACAUGAUU
This 773-nucleotide long non-coding RNA is filed under the name Vigna radiata. RNAcentral's name for it is "long non-coding RNA (VRAD_LNC018270)". The record is from RNAcentral. Lineage: Eukaryota; Viridiplantae; Streptophyta; Magnoliopsida; Fabales; Fabaceae.